AGUGAACGCUGGCGGUAGGCCUAACACAUGCAAAUCGAACGGCAGCACAGUAAGAGCUUGCUCUUACGGGUGGCGAGUGGCGGACGGGUGAGGAAUACAUCGGAAUCUACUUUUUCGUGGGGGAUAACGUAGGGAAACUUACGCUAAUACCGCAUACGACCUACGGGUGAAAGCAGGGGAUCUUCGGACCUUGCGCGAUUGAAUGAGCCGAUGUCGGAUUAGCUAGUUGGCGGGGUAAAGGCCCACCAAGGCGACGAUCCGUAGCUGGUCUGAGAGGAUGAUCAGCCACACUGGAACUGAGACACGGUCCAGACUCCUACGGGAGGCAGCAGUGGGGAAUAUUGGACAGUGGGCGCAAGCCUGAUCCAGCCAUACCGCGUGGGUGAAGAAGGCCUUCGGGUUGUAAAGCCCUUUUGUUGGGAAAGAAAAGCAGCAGGUUAAUACCCCGCUGUUCUGACGGUACCCAAAGAAUAAGCACCGGCUAACUUCGUG
This 492-nucleotide ribosomal RNA is filed under the name uncultured bacterium. RNAcentral describes it as "partial 16S ribosomal RNA". It matches the Rfam family "Bacterial small subunit ribosomal RNA", at positions 29 to 507 of the family's 1533-position model. The record is from RNAcentral.